AAAGUAAGUCUUUUUUCCCCCCUUUCCCCCCGGGAUAGGAAAGUAAGUCUUUAUUUGCUUGAUACAUUCUGAUUAUGUAAGACUUUACUACCUUAUCAUCUUGAUGUGUAAUCUCUGGAACCAACUAUUUCCUCAUUUUUGAAAGUUAUUUCAAUGCUAUUCUGCUCCUUGUUAAUAUCUGUCAUUUCAAUGCUAUUCUGCUCCUUGUUAAUACCUGAAUGCUAUGCCUGAAUCGCUAUACCUGAAUCCUAUUAUAUACAUGUUACGAUUCCCAAUAUGCUUUGAGGUAAGUAGUCAUUAAUCAUCAAACUGCGACUUUUUAUGUUUUGUCAAACAAUCUGGUUUACUGCAUGGCUAUGGCUUUUUAACCUCUUUUUUUUGUUAAAUAACUAGUCAUUGUCAUCUGAUUUACAAACUGUCAUUAGCUUCCGCGGCUGGUUUUAUAAUGUUACAUACUUUUGAGAUUCUUUGUUACAAAUCACUAUUUAGCUAUUGUGGAGCAAGUUUCAAAAUGUUUCUGGGUUAUUCUUAUCAUUUAUUUUGGAAAUGUCAUCCUACUUAUCUCAUCUUUACAGUGGUGGCAAUUUCUUAGUGUCCUAUUUUGCUAUGGUUUGGGGUCAUCCAUGGUCGUCCUGUUUCUUUGAAUCAACUUCUCUUGUGUGUUUGUGUAGAUCA
RNAcentral lists this long non-coding RNA (675 nucleotides) under Citrus x clementina. RNAcentral describes it as "Citrus clementina (C. clementina) long non-coding RNA (CCLE_LNC003345)". The record is from RNAcentral. Lineage: Eukaryota; Viridiplantae; Streptophyta; Magnoliopsida; Sapindales; Rutaceae.